GACGAACCGUCCAAACGUUAUUCGGUAUCACUGGGCUUAAAGCGUUCGUAGGCGGCCUAGUAGGUGAGGUGUGAAAGCCCUCGGCCCAACCGAGGAAUUGCGCUUCAAACCACUAGGCUCGAGGGAGACAGGGGUGAUGGGAACUGUUGGUGGAGUGGUGAAAUGCGUUGAUAUCAACAGGAACACCGGUGGCGAAAGCGCAUCACUGGGUCUUUACUGACGCUGAGGAACGAAAGCUAGGGGAGCGAACGGG
This 253-nucleotide ribosomal RNA is filed under the name uncultured bacterium. Its description in RNAcentral is "partial 16S ribosomal RNA". It matches the Rfam family "Bacterial small subunit ribosomal RNA", at positions 524 to 776 of the family's 1533-position model. The record is from RNAcentral.